AAAUUGAAGAGUUUGAUCAUGGCUCAGAUUGAACGCUGGCGGCAGGCCUAACACAUGCAAGUCGAACGGUAACAGAAAGCAGCUUGCUGCUUUGCUGACGAGUGGCGGACGGGUGAGUAAUGUCUGGGAAACUGCCUGAUGGAGGGGGAUAACUACUGGAAACGGUAGCUAAUACCGCAUAACGUCGCAAGACCAAAGAGGGGGACCUUCGGGCCUCUUGCCAUCGGAUGUGCCCAGAUGGGAUUAGCUUGUUGGUGGGGUAACGGCUCACCAAGGCGACGAUCCCUAGCUGGUCU
This 296-nucleotide ribosomal RNA is filed under the name Escherichia coli. RNAcentral describes it as "partial 16S ribosomal RNA". It matches the Rfam family "Bacterial small subunit ribosomal RNA", at positions 1 to 293 of the family's 1533-position model. The record is from RNAcentral. Lineage: Bacteria; Pseudomonadati; Pseudomonadota; Gammaproteobacteria; Enterobacterales; Enterobacteriaceae.